UACGAAGGGGGCUAGCGUUGCUCGGAAUCACUGGGCGUAAAGGGUGCGUAGGCGGGUCUUUAAGUCAGGGGUGAAAUCCUGGAGCUCAACUCCAGAACUGCCUUUGAUACUGAGGAUCUUGAGUUCGGGAGAGGUGAGUGGAACUGCGAGUGUAGAGGUGAAAUUCGUAGAUAUUCGCAAGAACACCAGUGGCGAAGGCGGCUCACUGGCCCAUUACCGACGCUGAGGCACGAAAGCGUGGGGAGCAAACAGG
Molecule: ribosomal RNA, 253 nt
Filed under: uncultured bacterium
Lineage: Bacteria
Description: partial 16S ribosomal RNA
Rfam family: Bacterial small subunit ribosomal RNA
Source: RNAcentral